CCCCUCUCAGGGUCACACCUGGAGAGUUUCCAGUACUCUCCCAGUCUCAGCUAUGGGAAGGAGACUCAAGCAGAGGCCUAUCCAUUCCAUUCCUAGCCUGGGCAGUGGAUAGUGAGUGGAAGGCAAUCUGCUAUAAAA
This 138-nucleotide small nucleolar RNA is filed under the name Ornithorhynchus anatinus (platypus). The record is from RNAcentral. Lineage: Eukaryota; Metazoa; Chordata; Mammalia; Monotremata; Ornithorhynchidae.